GGUCAAGCGAAUAAGUGCAUGUGGUGGAUGC
This 31-nucleotide ribosomal RNA is filed under the name Ralstonia pickettii. Its description in RNAcentral is "partial 23S ribosomal RNA". The record is from RNAcentral. Lineage: Bacteria; Pseudomonadati; Pseudomonadota; Betaproteobacteria; Burkholderiales; Burkholderiaceae.